Molecule: ribosomal RNA, 492 nt
Filed under: uncultured bacterium
Lineage: Bacteria
Description: bacterial SSU rRNA
Rfam family: Bacterial small subunit ribosomal RNA
Source: RNAcentral
AGAGUUUGAUCAUGGCUCAGAAUGAACGUUGGCGGCGUGGAUUAGGCAUGCAAGUCGAACGCGAACGGGCAACUUAGUAGCGUGGCGAAAGGGGUAGUAACACAUAGGCAACCUGCCUUCGGGUCUGGGAUAGACGGUGGAAACGCCGAGUAAAACUAGACAUCGUCCGAUGGUCGCAUGAUCGCUGGACGAAAGGCAACGCCCGAAGAGGGGCUUAUGUCCUAUCAGCUAGUUGGUGAGGUAAUGGCUCACCAAGGCGACGACGGGUAGGGGGUGUGAGAGCACGAUCCCCACCACUGGCACUGAGACACUGGCCAGACUCCUACGGGAGGCUGCAGUCGAGAAUCUUCGGCAAUGGGCGCAAGCCUGACCGAGCGACGCCGCGUGGAGGAUGAAGGCCUUCGGGUUGUAAACUCCUGUUGGGGGGGAACAAUAAUGAGUGAACCCCUGAGGAAGCACGGGCUAAGUUCGUGCCAGCAGCCGCGGUAAUUC